GGGAUGAAGAGGGUAUUUCCGGGACAGUUGAAGGGCCCAGAUCUGAGCCAGCCUGAACAGUCUGGAAGUGUUUGACCCAGAUUGUUUAAACCAGAGAGGCUGAAAACAUAAUUUUAAAAAAUCAGUAUAAUUGCUUUAGUAAGUGCUAAAGCGAAGGACUCUCCAUGUUUUAACACUGAAGGAUCAAAACCGGUUUGUGAUUCUGCACAACCACCUUAUGGAAAUAGCAACUGAGAAAAACUUCCACCAGGCUGCUGGCUCCAACCAACAUCAUGGCUAAUUGCCCAAUUCCUUCGAAGUGGAGAUGGUGCUGAAGAAAACACUGCCCAGAAAGAUCCUCAAGGGGAGGUGGAGGGGACGCGUCAACACAGGAGGCCAGCCACAUUCUGAGAAGAGCGGAAACGAGCAUUGUAGAACUCCCUAAUGGCCCGCUACAGAAAAAAGGGAUUUGCUUUUCCAAUGCCACAGAAUCGCAUCCGGAAAACACUAAUUUUUUAAUUCGGAUUUAUUUAUGAUCGCAAAGGAAAGGCAUGUUGAUUUCUCG
Prionailurus viverrinus (fishing cat) is the source of this 544-nucleotide long non-coding RNA. RefSeq lists it as uncharacterized. Lineage: Eukaryota; Metazoa; Chordata; Mammalia; Carnivora; Felidae. The transcript has 3 exons. The record is from RefSeq and is a predicted model, not a curated record.